GUGGGGAAUUUUGGACAAUGGGCGCAAGCCUGAUCCAGCCAUGCCGCGUGUGGGAAGAAGGCCUUCGGGUUGUAAACCACUUUUGUCAGGGAAGAAACGGUUUGGCCUAAUACGCUGAGCUAAUGACGGUACCUGAAGAAUAAGCACCGGCUAACUACGUGCCAGCAGCCGCGGUAAUACGUAGGGUGCAAGCGUUAAUCGGAAUUACUGGGCGUAAAGCGUGCGCAGGCGGCUUUGCAAGACAGAUGUGAAAUCCCCGGGCUCAACCUGGGAACUGCAUUUGUGACUGCAUGGCUAGAGUGCGGCAGAGGGGGAUGGAAUUCCGCGUGUAGCAGUGAAAUGCGUAGAUAUGCGGAGGAACACCGAUGGCGAAGGCAAUCCCCUGGGCCUGCACUGACGCUCAUGCACGAAAGCGUGGGGAGCAAACAGGAUUAGAUACCCCAGUAGUCC
RNAcentral lists this ribosomal RNA (450 nucleotides) under uncultured bacterium. Its description in RNAcentral is "bacterial SSU rRNA". It matches the Rfam family "Bacterial small subunit ribosomal RNA", at positions 354 to 796 of the family's 1533-position model. The record is from RNAcentral.